Molecule: long non-coding RNA, 7274 nt
Filed under: Citrus maxima (pomelo)
Lineage: Eukaryota; Viridiplantae; Streptophyta; Magnoliopsida; Sapindales; Rutaceae
Description: long non-coding RNA (CMAX_LNC000292)
Source: RNAcentral
ACAGAUUUCUUCAUGAGGAAAAUCGCCCAAUUAAUUUAUCAUCAUUUAUUGAUCAAAACAAAAUCUCUUAACAAAACAAGAAACCGAUUUGUACAAAUAUUAUAUUAGAACAUCUAGAGAGGAUAUCUAAAAUGAUACAAUCAAGUAUUGAUUAAAACUUGCUCCAAAUUUUAACCAUUUCUACAACGGUAACAUUCACUAACAAAUGUUUUGAAUAAACUUACUCAUAUUAUGUUAUAAACUUAUUCAUGUCAUACUUGUGUCAUUUUAACUUAUUUUUUUUGACACAUUUGUUAUUUUUAAAUUAAUUUUUAAUAUCUUCAAAAAAAAUAUUAAACAAGUCAACACGAUUAAUAUGUUUGUUUUGUGUUUUUGUUCUCUCUUCGUUUGUGUCUGUGUUUUCGUAAACUUUCUUUUGUUGUUGUUCUGUUGUGUGUAUGUAGUAAAUGUGUUUUAUAUUUUGUGUGUAGAUAUUGAUGUCUUAUUUUUCUUUGAAUUUGUGACAGUGGGAAAACUGAAUUUUUGCAGAUGAAGAGGCAACCGGUAGCAAAAAGAACCCGUACUCAAACAAAUCGUAUGAUUGAGGAGAAGUAUAAAAAACUUAAGGAAAAUAAAGGACAAGAAAAAUAUGGGACUGAAUCGUCUAGUUCUAAGGUUAAUGAAUCAUCCAGUUCUAAGGAUGAUGAAUGUGUCAAAGUAUUUGAAAUGGACAAUGUGAGUGACAAGGAGGAGAAGGAGGAGGGGACUAGAUCAAAACAAGUUAAUGAUGAUUGUGGUGGUUUUUUGUCAGAAUCAGAAAGUGACAAUGAUGGAAGUGAUCCUUUAAGGCCAAUUAUAGUGGAUUGUUGUCCUGAAGAAGAUUUGGAUUUAGAUGCAGAGAAUAGUAGUUUGGGGUCAAAGACAACUGAUGAGUAUGUAAUUAAUGAUGAUUACGUGGAUGAUGGUGAUGAUGACGGUGAGAAGGAGGAGGAGGAGGAGAGGGAAACUGAUGAUGAAAGUUUACUGGAAGCGCGUACGAAAAAUAAGGGGAAAUUAAAAAAGUCAACCAAGGGAAAGCACAACCGUGUGCUGAAACAUGAUCAUGUUGAAAGAAUUAUUCUGAAAUCCAUUUUGAAUACGGAAGAAACUCCCUCAGAAGAUUAUCCAUCUUCCAGCAGAGAGGUUUUAAGAGACGAGAUGAGUCAAUCAUUCAAUGAUGAUGAGGAGUCAACUUCAUCAGAGAAAUCAGAGUGUGAUGAUGGCUUGGGUUAUCUCUGGGCUGAGAUGGACUUUGCUCGCAAAGUCAGCGAGCUGCAUUCCGCUAACUCUCCCAUCGUAUCUCGAGUUUGUAAUUUGAUUGAGCACAAAAGCAUUAUAUUAGGAUUGUUUUUAUUGAUUUAAGUUUUUAUAUUCUUUCUUAGAUUGCAUUGUAACCUAUUAUUGUUUCCUGUUGGCUGCUUGACAAUGUUAUUCAUAAAUUACUCUGUGAACAAGUAUUGGCGAUUAGAUUUUAAGCAAUGUCAUUAUCAUCCUUAUUGUAAUUAAAAAGUAAAAAACAGGCUUACUCUUUUUUCUUUUUCAGGUGUAGGCUUUAGUUUAAAGGAUAUACAUGUUGAUUUAAUAGAUUUAAUUGAGGUUCCAACUUCAAAUUUAUAUGUCGUAGACAGAAGUGAAAUUGCUCUGUAGUAAUUAGUAUACCUAUUGCUCUUUAUUCUUUAAAUUACUUCUAAGUUUUAUGAACUUCUAUUUUACAUCAGAGGCUUAUGGAAUAAAUUGAUGAUGCAAGGGUCAAAUGCAUGACUUUGUUGCUGUACUAUAUUAUAUUGAUUCAUAUUCUUAAUUGUGAUCAUUUAGCAUGAAAAUAUGAUUGUUGAACUGAUGAGGCAUAUGCUAUAGUUAACAAAUUUAUGAUUGUUUUAGCUAAUCAAAUUCAUUAUAUUUUUGUUUAUUGUUAUUUGCAUUUAUGACAAAGAUGCUUGACUUUGUUGCUGCCCUAAAUUAUCUUUAUUCAUAUUCUUAAAUGUGAUUUUUAGUAAUAAAAAUAUGUUUGUUGUACCGUUAAGGUAUAUAUGUUCAUCAUUAGUGUUAACAAAUUUAUGAUUGUUUUAGCUGAUUAAGUCUAUUCCUCCAAUGACAAAAAUUGUUUUAGAUGUUAAUCAAGAUGAUAAUAUAUUUCCAUUUUUUUAAUUGCUUUAAACUAGAUAAAAUUUAAAUUAGAAGCACUGCUUUCUAUACAAAGUUUAGUACUUGAUAUACUCUAUCACCAAUUUCCGACAUAACCCGCUCAUUUCUUUCACUCUCUCUUAAUUCUAAAUCAUUUCUAUAAAAAAAUCAACAAUGAUAUUUAUCUUUAUUUCAAUAUUUAUAGUUCUGAAUGAAAUUUUUUUUUCUUCUUAGGCUCAUUAAUUCUUGAUGCAAGAUUAGCUAAAUUCAAAAGCUUGGAAGCAUUGAAUUUGAGUAAUAGUAACAUAAAAAAUUCUCUAGAAACCCAUAUUAAUCAAUUUACACUGUGUUUUUAUGUUGAAACAUGAUAAAUAAGAGCCCAAUAUUGUUUUCUAAUUGGUUUUUUUUUUACAAAAUAAAAAUGAAAAUGCUAUUUUUAAAUUUAUUUUUAAAAUUUAAAAAUGUGUUCAGUAUCAUUUUCAAAAAUAAUCUCAAAAAUGAGAAAAACAAAAAUAUGUUUGGUAAGAAUAUCUCAAAGAAUUAUUAUUGGAAUAAUUUCCAUAAACUUAAGAUUAAGCAAUGUAUAUUGAUUAUUUUAAUUUUAAGAAUAAAUUAGGUGAUCUUUCUAUUUUUUUGUUCAAAGAAAAAUGAUAAACCCUACAUAUUUGAUCUAGUUAAUAUAUAAAAACAUAAAUAUUAUAAUGUAUAUAAAAAGAAAAGUUUUUUGUGAGGGAAAUUGAUUCUUUGGGUACAACAACAACAACAACAAUAAGAAUAAUAAUCUCUAGGUGACAUAUGUUUUAACAAAUUUUAAGAAGAUGACAUAUUUUUUUAAAAUAUUCGAACGAUUGACAUUCUAUUAACUUUUGCCAUUAAUUUUAAUAAGAAUAGUAAAUUAAAUGAUGUUUCUACCCCACAAAAUGAUGUUUCUACCCAUACUCACUCAUUUUUAAUUUUUUAAAUAGAAAAAUAUAAAAAAAUUAAACAUAAGUCUAAUUAACAGGUUUUUUUUUGUAAAUCUAAUAACUUUUAAAAAAAUUCUUGUUGAUCAAACUGAUUUGUGAAUAUAAAGAAGCAAAAAUCUUAUGAAUUAUAAAGUAUUGUAUAAAUUCAAUAUUUUCAUCUCUUUGGCUUUAUGAAAAAAAAAUAUAUUUUUCCAAUUCUACCCUCGGCUGAUUAAAAUUAACAGCAAAAGUUAAUGGAAUGUCACCCACUCAAGUGUUUUCAAAACAUGCGUCAUCUUUUUGAAAUUUAUUAAAAUAUGUGUCACCCAGGGAUAAUUAAACCUAAUGAUGAUAAUAAUAAUAAUAAUAAUAAUGUUGAUAUUAUUAUUAUUUCAAGAGGAGAUAAAGAGAAUUCUUAAUUUUGGAACUUAAUAUUGUAUUGGAAAAUAAGGAAAAUAAGAAAAAGUCGUUUCUCAUUUCUUUUGUUAAAAUGUGUAGAAUGAAUUUUAUAUUUUAAAAAAUAUUUCAGAAACAAUCUACCGAACACGUAUCUAAUAUUUUCUAAAUUCAAAAAAUAAAAAACAGCAUAUAAAAACAAUGCCAACGCACCCAAUAUUUGCAUUACUGACACACAAUUCCUACUUCCCAGUGACUUGUUGGUCAAAGUACUUUGCCGAAAUUAAAUAUGAAGACCAGUUUUUUUUUUUUUCCGCUUGGGCAAAUAGUUUUGUUUAAUGCUAUGAGAAGAAUAAAUAAAGUUUAAGAAAACAACUAAUAGAUUAUGAGUUUCUCUUUACAUUAUCCAACAAAUUUAGAGAUUAGAGAACCAAUAUCCAACGAAAAACACGAAGUCAACAAACUCUUCCGCAGAAAAUCAUUAUUUUAAACAAUGACAAUUGCUUAAACGCUUUUUGAAUAGAUUAUGAUGAGCAAGAAUUGCUGACUGCUUUUAUAUUAUUAUUAUUAUUUUAUUGUUAGAUUAAUUGAAACGCUUUUGCAAUCAACAUCAUAUUAUAUGAGAAAUAAAUUCAUAUCAUUCUAUUAUUAUUUAUGUGUACCAAAAUACUUAGACAAUUUGAUUUCUUGUCCGUUUUAUAAGUCUUAUAUUGGGUUCAUGAUUGAAUGCACUAUAAUUAGUUUUCGUUUUAUGAAAUCUGAGCUUUUUAUUUUCACUUUCAGGAAUAUGUAAUUUGAAGAAUCUUCUUGAGUUGGAUUUAAGCUCAAAUAGCCUUGAGGGUCACCUUCCUCGGUGUCUCAACAACUUGACCCAUCUCAAAGUUCUUGAUAUUUCUUACAAUCAGUUAAGUGGAAACUUUCCUUCUGCCUUGACCAACCUCACAUCACUUGAAUAUUUGGAUCUCUUUUUCAUCGAUUUCCAAGGAACAUUCUCAAUAAAUUCAUUGGCUAAUCAUUCAAAGCUUGAGGUCUUGCGACUCUCGUCAGGAAACGAUAUGUUGCGAGUGAAAACCGAAAACUGGCUCCCCACAUAUCCUCUCAAGGUUCUCCAAUUAUCUCACUGCCACUUAAAUGUCAAUAAUAGUUUUCUUUUACACCAACACCACUUAAAAUUCCUUGAUCUCUCUCACAAUCAGUUGGUUGGCAAUUUCCCAACUUGGUUGUUGCAAAACAACACAGGAUUAGAAGUUUUGAUUUUGUGGAAUAACUCAUUCUCAGGAAUUCUUCCCCGACUUCCCAAUGCCAAAUACGAUAAGCUUCGUUAUCUAGAUAUUUUCACUAACAAUUUCUCUGGUACGGUACCAGAUAAUUUGGGUAUUGUCUUUCAGAAAUUGAUAUAUUUGGAUAUGUCAAAAAAUAGUUUUGAAGGUAAUAUUCCUUAUUCAAUCAGUGAGAUGAAAGAGCUAAGUACUUUGGAUUUGUCUAGAAAUAAUUUUUCAGGAGAAUUACCUCGAUCUAUACUCUCUAGUUGCCUCUCCUUAGAAAUGUUGGACCUAUCAAAUAACAAGUUCUAUGGCCAACUUUUUCCCAAUUUUAUGAACUUGACUCAGUUGAGUUCCUUACUUUUGGACAACAAUCAUUUCAGUGGGAAGAUGACAGAUGGUUUGUUGAGCUCGCCUUUGCUGGGGAUAUUAGAUGUAUCCAACAACAAGUUAUCCGGCGAUAUUCCCCACUGGAUUGGCAACUUCUCACACCUUUGGCUUCUUUUAAUGUCAGAAAAUUAUUUUCAAGGUAGUAUUCCGGUCCAGCUCGGCAAUCUUGAAAGUCUUGGGUUUAUAGACAUCUCCGAAAAUAGUUUGUCUGGGUCCAUGGUAUCUCUCUCCAGUCUUUCAUCAGUGGAGCACAUUUAUCUGCAUAACAAUGCAAUUAAUGGGUUAAUUCCAAUUGCAUUGCUUAGAAGCUCUACAUUAUUGACUCUCGAUUUGAGGGACAAUAAACUUUUUGGUAGGAUUCCUCAUCAGAUCAAUGAGCUUUCGAAUUUGCAUGUUCUUCUUUUGAGAGGGAAUUAUCUACAAGGACGUAUUCCUAAUCAGUUGUGCCAAUUAAGAAAAUUAGGUAUCAUGGAUCUUUCACAUAACAGACUUAAUGGGCCGAUACCUUCAUGCUUGGGUAACGUGUCAUUCUGGAGAGAAGCGAUUGAUGAUUAUUCAUAUGAUUCCACUCUUGAUCGGCAGCCGCAAGGUAAACCACAUGGUGGAAUAGAUCAAAAAGUAGGUGUAGAAUUUGUGACAAAGUAUAGAUAUGAAUUUUUCAUCGGUCUCAAUCUCGUCGACAUGGCUGGAUUGGAUUUGUCGAGCAAUGAGUUCAGUGGAGAAAUUCCAUGGGAAAUUGGGCAUCUUCAACAUAUUCGUGCACUUAAUCUGUCGAAUAAUUUACUAUCAGGUGCUAUACCAGAGAGCUUCUCCAAUCUGAAAAUGAUAGAGAGCCUGGACCUUUCCCGCAACAAAUUAAGUGGCCGAAUUCCUCCUCAACUAACUGAGCUCAACUUUUUGUCAAACUUCAACGUGUCAUACAACAAUUUGUCCGGCCCAAUCCCAGACAAAGAGCAGUUUGCCACCUUUGAUGACAGCAGUUAUGAAGGUAAUUCGGCUCUUUGUGGCUCAAUGAUAAAGAGGAAAUGCAGCAGUGCGUUGGCACCACCAGCGACACCUACAGGAGGAGGAGAAGAUGAAGGCGAUUCUGUGAUUGAUAUGGUGGCAUUAAGAUGGAGUUUUGGAGCAUCCUAUGUGUCAGUGAUUUUGGGCUUCUUUGCAGCACUUUGGAUAAACUCGUACUGGCGCAGACUGUGAUUCUAUUUCAUUGAUAGAUGUAUUGACACGUGCUACUAUUGGCUUUUCAAAUACGGUUCUGCCGUGUAUAACUUAUCGUGAUGUAUUAUGUAUCCGUUGGCUUUUCUCCAAACAGCUACGUAUCCAUGUAUGUGUUUGUUCAAAUUCUCAAUCUGGUUCCAAAACUACACUCAUGUUUCCAAUUUCGUUUAAUUGGUUGCAUUAUGAUUAGACUUACGGCUUCUUCUUCAGUUUCUGUUGGUUGCAAAUUUAAAUUUAAUAAGGAAUUUUGCCAUCUAGUACGUUAGUUGUAAUAUCAUCAGUGCAGCAACUUCAACUGCAAAUCUAAGCUAUCAGUAGGUCAAUUCAACUCCAUUCCGAAUGUAUUGUUCACACGCACCAACCAAAUACCAAAUAAUUUGAGGCAUAAUUAACAACAAAUCCCAGUCUAAAACAUUAAAACCCAUUAUAGAAUAACAUCACAGAUCUCUUGAUGAGGAAAAUCGCCCAAUUAAUUUAUCAUCAUUUAUUGACCAAAACAAAAUCUCUUAACAAAACAAGAAACCGAUUUGUACAAAUAUUAUAUUAGAACAUCCAGAAAGGAUAUCUAAAAUGAUACAAUCAGGUAUUGAUUAAAACUUGCCCCAAAUUUUAACUAUUUCUACAACGGUAACAUUCACUAACAAAUUUUUCGAAUAAAAUUGGGAGAAAUAGGACGGCACCUUUGCAUUUUAUUGCUUUGCUCUCUCUUUUAACGAACAGAAGCACAGAUGGAUUGAUGAUUGUACAUCUCAGUUACCCCAUUUGUGAUCUGCUGUCGGUUUCUUCUCCGUUUUCUGACAACUAUAAAUCCUUCACCAUUCCCAUUUUUUUGGUUUGCAUCUUUGGGUUUUUUCUGUUCUUGAUCAUUGGACUGAGAUGCCAAGUUUGUUUUGCCCUUUUCAUUUCCAUAAAGGAUCUUUAU